This 491-nucleotide ribosomal RNA is filed under the name uncultured bacterium. RNAcentral describes it as "partial 16S ribosomal RNA". It matches the Rfam family "Bacterial small subunit ribosomal RNA", at positions 29 to 507 of the family's 1533-position model. The record is from RNAcentral.
AGUGAACGCUGGCGGUAGGCCUAACACAUGCAAGUCGAACGGCAGCACAGUAAGAGCUUGCUCUUACGGGUGGCGAGUGGCGGACGGGUGAGGAAUACAUCGGAAUCUACUUUUUCGUGGGGGAUAACGUAGGGAAACUUACGCUAAUACCGCAUACGACCUACGGGUGAAAGCAGGGGAUCUUCGGACCUUGCGCGAUUGAAUGAGCCGAUGUCGGAUUAGCUAGUUGGCGGGGUAAGGCCCAACAAGGCGACGAUCCGUAGCUGGUCUGAGAGGAUGAUCAGCCACACUGGAACUGAGACACGGUCCAGACUCCUACGGGAGGCAGCAGUGGGGAAUAUUGGACAAUGGGCGCAAGCCUGAUCCAGCCAUACCGCGUGGGUGAAGAAGGCCUUCGGGUUGUAAAGCCCUUUUGUUGGGAAAGAAAAGCAGCAGGUUAAUACCCCGCUGUUCUGACGGUACCCAAAGAAUAAGCACCGGCUAACCUCGUG